AGCCCCAGGAGGAAGGGGGGACUGUUAGCAGCAUAGGAUUGAGGAGUUGGAAGAGACCUUUAGAACAGCUGGUCAUUAUGCCAACUGGGAGCCUGCACUAAGUUCGGCAUCAAUAUGGUGACCUCCUGGGAGCAGGGGGCCACCAAGUCGCCUAAGGAUGGCUGAACUGGCCCAGGUCAGAAAGAGAGCGGGUCAGAACUCCCG
This 204-nucleotide small RNA is filed under the name Pongo abelii (Sumatran orangutan). Lineage: Eukaryota; Metazoa; Chordata; Mammalia; Primates; Hominidae. The record is from RNAcentral.